CUCCUACUGGAGGCAGCAGUGGGGGAUAUUGCACAAUGGGGGAAACCCUGAUGCAGCGACGCCGCGUGGAGGAAGAAGGUUUUCGGAUUGUAAACUCCUGUCGUUAGGGACGAUAAUGACGGUACCUAACAAGAAAGCACCGGCUAACUACGUGCCAGCAGCCGCGGUAAAACGUAGGGUGCAAGCGUUGUCCGGAAUUACUGGGUGUAAAGGGAGCGCAGGCGGACCGGCAAGUUGGAAGUGAAAACUAUGGGCUCAACCCAUAAAUUGCUUUCAAAACUGCUGGCCUUGAGUAGUGCAGAGGUAGGUGGAAUUCCCGGUGUAGCGGUGGAAUGCGUAGAUAUCGGGAGGAACACCAGUGGCGAAGGCGACCUACUGGGCACCAACUGACGCUGAGGCUCGAAAGCAUGGGUAGCAAACAGGAUUAGAUACCCUGGUAGUCCAUGCCGUAAACGAUGAUUACUAGGUGUUGGAGGAUUGACCCCUUCAGUGCCGCAGUUAACACAAUAAGUAAUCCACCUGGGGAGUACGACCGCAAGGUUGAAACUCAAAGGAAUUGACGGGGGCCCGCACAAGCAGUGGAGUAUGUGGUUUAAUUCGAAGCAACGCGAAGAACCUUACCAGGUCUUGACAUCCGAUGCAUAGUGCAGAGAUGCAUGAAGUCCUUCGGGACAUCGAGACAGGUGGUGCAUGGUUGUCGUCAGCUCGUGUCGUGAGAUGUUGGGUUAAGUCCCGCAACGAGCGCAACCCUUAUUGCCAGUUACUACGUAAGAGGACUCUGGCGAGACUGCCGUUGACAAAACGGAGGAAGGUGGGGAUGACGUCAAAUCAUCAUGCCCUUUAUGACCUGGGCUACACACGUACUACAAUGGCGUUUAACAAAGAGAAGCAAGACCGCGAGGUGGAGCAAAACUCAAAAACAACGUCUCAGUUCAGAUUGCAGGCUGCAACUCGCCUGCAUGAAGUCGGAAUUGCUAGUAAUCGCGGAUCAGCAUGCCGCGGUGAAUACGUUCCCGGGCCUUGUACACACCGC
RNAcentral lists this ribosomal RNA (1033 nucleotides) under uncultured bacterium. RNAcentral's name for it is "bacterial SSU rRNA". It matches the Rfam family "Bacterial small subunit ribosomal RNA", at positions 336 to 1393 of the family's 1533-position model. The record is from RNAcentral.